CACUGUUUUUCACUGUUCGUGAACAGUAAAAUGACGGAAAUGCCUUCCAAAUUUUUCCCAUCAGCAGUAUCUUUUAGCUUUUCUACAGUACAUUGACGAUUCUGCCUUUGAACACCACGCGUCUGUCAUUGGUGGUUCUUCCACUCCAUUUCUACUCCGCCUUUUCUUUGGGUUCCCUUCUCUCUCUCUCUCUCACCAUUUUCAGCUUUUCCUUAUUUUGGAGCCUAGGUUUUUUCUCUCUCCCACGCCUUCGUUGUUUUCGCUAUCCGUCCUUCACGUCUUUGUCUCGUCGAUUAUUCACGGCCGUUUUCUUCUCGGAAAACUAACGAUCUCUGGUGAGUUUUUUUGCAGUUCUUGCCGUGUCUCAUUUCAAUUUUUUUUUUCGUUGUUUGAGUGUGGCUUUGCGAUGCGGUUUGAUUUUUGGUUUCAGGAAAAGUUAUCGAUGCGAUCUAAGGUGUUUUGGUGAGUUUUCUGCUUUUCUGAUUGUAUGUUGUUUGAUUCUUUUUUCGUGCUUUGGGUCUGCCUUUCUGAUCUGCUUUCAUAUUUGGUUUUAGCAAAAGAAGUUGUUUGAAUUUUGGCCUUUCUGUCUGCAACCUUGCAAGCUGUUUGCGAUCAAGGUAUUUAACUUUUUUUUUUUUUUUUUGGUGUUGGUUCUUUCUCCGAUGAUGGUUUGUUUGACUGGUCAGAAACUGAAAUAAAUAAAUUAUGAGAUUUAAACUGAAUUAUGCUUCAUUUAAUUAAAUCUUUGGUUUUGUUGGGUUGUCAUUGUUUGCCCUGUUCUAAACUUAUAUGUCUUGGGUUGUCAAUUUUUUUCGGUUGUCAUUUUUUCCUUUUAUUUUCUGCUGGAAGCACUAUUAUAUUCAUGCUAAUUUUGAUGAAAAGGAAAUGUGUGUUUAAUUGAAGGAUUAAAUAUGUAUGAAGCAGGACAUAGUAUGCUAUAAUACAUUUUUCCUUUUAUUCUCUGUUUCUUCGUUGUCAAUUUCAUAGGAUUUGGGUUUGGGCAGAUCAAUCCUGCAAACCGCUUCAAUAACAUGUCUUGGAACUCAAUUGGCCACUAUCAGCGCAACCUCCAUAUUCUUGGUAAAACACCAGAACCAAUCAUCUCAUGGCUUGAAAAGGAGGGAAAGACUAAUCCAGGGCCAUGACAUAGCAUUAACUCAUCAGACAUAAUCAACGUUUGGAAAUGCUUUGUCUAUUUUUUUAUUUGAUUAACAAUUCAAACUUAUCUUUAUAUUUAUUAGUAUCUUGAUUUCCUUGACAAUUCAACCAUAUCUUUUUUGUGUUUCUGUUUUUCUGGGUGUUUAAUUUUAUUUGAAUUUCUUAAUUUGUUCAAAGGAUGCUUUGGUUAGUGGCCAUCUUAUUUAAUUAUUUUUUUUUCUUUUGGUUUUUUAGCACCAAUGGUAUUGGUGAAUGGUGAAGAGGUUUGUAUGGGUUCAUAUAUCUUAAACAUGUAGUGAGAAGUGAGGGUUUUGUUUUAGUAUUUUAGAUAAUUUGAGGAACAUGUAGAUACUAUGAUUUGUGGUUGCUUUCUUAAACCAUGAUAAAGCAGUCCAUGUAAUUUUAACAUAGAUAUAAUUUUUUAUCUAAUGCAUGAGUAUAUGAAAUGUUAAUACGAUAAGAUUUAAAAUGCAAAGAGAGACAAUGAACCAUGUUUGAUAUUUUGUUUGUGUUGGUUGUUUUAAAUUUGAGCUUUUUUGAGUUGGAUUUAUGUGUUUUGUUUAAGAUAUCAUUUUUGGUUUAUGAAUGGUUUGCCAGUGCAAAAGUUUGCAUAUUUUUUUAUGGUUGGAUUCAUGGGUUGUCUUAAGCUUUGAAGUUCUUAGUUUUUAUCAAGAAAUUUAAUUUGGGUUUCAUUUAUUUGUGAAACUAGCACUUUUUUUGUGAAGAUUUUCAGUAAAUGAUUGCUUAUUUGGCUUUAAAUUUGAUCUCUUUAAAUUUCCAGGUUGUCCUAGACUUUUUCAACAGUGCAGAGUUGUCUUCGGCAGAACUCGAUAGCAACUCUAGGUCAGUCUGAAUUGCCAGUAGAUAUGAUUUUUCUUUAAUUUAUUCAUCUUCUUUCGAAUUUAUGUGCAAAUAUUUUUGAAGCCCAAGUGUAAAGUAUAAGUGUGGGUGUGGACACCCAAUAUGACUUUUACAUGGUGUUGCUAUCUUCUAUUUGACAGAAUUAUAUUGGGGACUGUCUAAAUUUUGGUUUUAGCUGCAGAUGAAGCGAAAUCAAAAGGUUAUAAAUUAGA
This 2231-nucleotide long non-coding RNA is filed under the name Malus domestica (apple). Its description in RNAcentral is "long non-coding RNA (MDOM_LNC011923)". The record is from RNAcentral. Lineage: Eukaryota; Viridiplantae; Streptophyta; Magnoliopsida; Rosales; Rosaceae.